UUCGCGAUGGUGCUCUGUCCAGUUUGAGGUGAGACUCACUGGCUGGAGUGUUGACGGAAAUCUCUAUGGGAAGCACACUUGGGUUAUUUGAUCAGUUCGCCAAUAGCGGGGAAACAAAAUGCCUCCGCCAGACAGGUCCAAAUAAUGACACCUCAAAAGAUACGUCUCAAUGAACAUAAUACAAGAUACAAUACUACCGAGAGGUUGCUCGCAUUGUCCAUGAUCACCACCCCACAUAGAGAAGUUGGAAACUUGGAAUGACAAGCCAACUUUGCAGCACACGGAAACUAUUACUCAGUUCAUUAUGUGGAUGCCAAAGGAUCAGGAAGGAGCAUGUUAUUGAAACAUCGAGCAGUGACUUUCAUCAUCAAGGCUGCAAUGCUGAAGGCACUCAACUCAAAAUGGCAGUGGGAAGGAAUGUGUGGAGGACGUUGAGGGACUGACAGGUGGCUUUAUAUGCGUUCAUAGUUUUCAUGACGAUCAAGGUGAUGCCCUUGUAUGUCUACGUGGUAAGAUAUUACAUUGGGCUUGUUACUGUUUUUAGUGGUAUCAGUGGGCUUGUAUUGCUAUGUAUUGGGUCAGUUAAGAGUCUUUCAUUACCUAAAAUGUUCUUCUGAUCUGGAUUACUCUUAAAUCUAGAAAUGGCUACUUUCAAAUUUUAACUGUCCUAAUGAUUUAAUCCUAUUAAGUGUCCCAAAUACAUGGUUUUUAUAAUUUCCUUCUAAAACCGUUUUGAUAAUAGAUUGACCUCCACAUGUGAGAGGAUCAAAAUUUCACGUAAUAUCAUAAAGGCUGGGCUCACAAUAGGUAAGCUUUUAAUUAGUCUUUUGUGAUGAUUCUUUCAUGUUCAAUGUAGAUAUUUGGUGCCUAUGUUUUCAAAGGUUGGACUAUUAAUAUUUUUCAAUGAUGGUGCAUGCCAGCCAAGUUUAGUUUAAGCAAGUAAAUGUAUGUUUGAAUAUUGACAGUGCAAUGGUUGAUUAUUUACCAACUGAAUUUCUAUUUUUCACCAUGGUGGGAUUUUGUGACACAGCAUAUGCAUUUGUGUAUGUUCUUGUGGAAAAACUAGAUGACUGCAAUGAGAUACAGUUAAGUUCUAAUUGCUAGAAAACCCGACAGGUUGAUUGACAGGCUAAUUUGCAAAACAGAAGUUUCUGCUAUCAAUGCUAAUUUGCUAAUUUGUAUAGUAGUUAAGUAGAUCAUUACUGUGAUACCAGCUCUAUCCAUUUCCGUUUGGGACAUAAAAUACCUUUGGGGCUCUGAACUGGCUCACUGUCGAGUAAAACUAAUAACAAUAACCUUGGAUAAAUAUGAUUAACUGAUAUUUUCUCGACACGGUAAUAUGAGAGUACCAUAGUCAUCACCCAUCAUUAUGGGCUUCACUCUUUUAUUUUGCGAACUCUGCAGACUGUCGUUAUAUUGCAAGGUAGUGAGGAUACAAGCUAUGGUUGUAGUCACAAAAUGAAUGAUCAUGGUCAAGAGUCACAAAACUCUAUUAUACUGUCAUUUUGAUGGUGGAUAACGCACCAUCUAGAUCUAGAGCAGCUGGUCAAGGAAGCCACAGAGCUAGGAGUUUAAGAAGUUGAGAAGACUUUCGUUUAUUGAAAAUGAUUACUCACGUAUGUAUAUUGUCAUAAUAACUAAUUUUAUGUUAAAAAUUAGGCUGCUCAGGCCCAUGGCAAUUAAUCUGCAUUCUGCAAUAGAACUUGCUGGUGUCUGUUUUUUUGCCUUUUCCCUUCAAACGACUUAGGCCCCAGAAUGUGACAAUAUCCACUGGUAUAUCUGUUUACUAUUUUCGUAGUCAAUAUAUCUUUUUUACCUUUUUAUUUUGAACCCUGCUUGCCUCCCAUUGUGAUUUGUAGCAUGAAGGAUGAGAUUGACCAGCACUACGUAAGCAACAUUAUUGUUCGGAUAUAUAGGUUGCGAAUGACAGUGCUAUAAUUUUAAAAUAACAUCUCAAAUGACAGCAGAUAAUCUGCACUGAAGAGGGUGCCCAAACUGCGGGUCCUGUCAGCUAUGUCACGCAGCCCCUGAGACAAAUACUGAUCUCUUUGUCCACUACAGUUUCACCUCCCAGGUCUGGCAACUAAUCAGAGCAUGGUCAGCGGCAGAUUUUCCUAUUCCAGGCUCUUACUUUCUCUCAACAGAAGAUUGGUGGACAAAAGUCAGGAAGAGGGUGCCGAAGAUCAACACUCAACAUGUGUGAUUUUGACACAAUUUCUAUACUGGUACACUGGAAGAUUUGGAAGGAGAGUAAUUCUAGAAGUUCUGAGGAGAGUAAUUCUAGAAGUUCUGAGAACUUACAACAUUAGGCAGAGGAUGUCUUUGUCGCGUUUAGGGAGGAGAUAGCUAUGUGGCGAUCGGCUGGAAGAGUGAGUUCUCUCUAGCUGACCUGCCGGUGCGUGGAGUUAAGGCAUACUGUGCUCUUUGUCGAUCCAGCGCAUAUCUAUCAUCUACUCCUUGUUUUGCUCCACCUCGGAGCUGUUGUAACACCUCUAUACUCUCCUUAAACUUAAUAAAGUUCGUCCUAUGGCCUUUCAACAUA
Lolium perenne is the source of this 2542-nucleotide long non-coding RNA. RefSeq lists it as uncharacterized. Lineage: Eukaryota; Viridiplantae; Streptophyta; Magnoliopsida; Poales; Poaceae. The record is from RefSeq and is a predicted model, not a curated record.